RNAcentral lists this ribosomal RNA (497 nucleotides) under uncultured bacterium. Its description in RNAcentral is "partial 16S ribosomal RNA". It matches the Rfam family "Bacterial small subunit ribosomal RNA", at positions 28 to 507 of the family's 1533-position model. The record is from RNAcentral.
GAUGAACGCUGGCGGCGUGCCUAAUACAUGCAAGUCGAGCGAACAGACGAGGAGCUUGCUCCUCUGACGUUAGCGGCGGACGGGUGAGUAACACGUGGAUAACCUACCUAUAAGACUGGGAUAACUUCGGGAAACCGGAGCUAAUACCGGAUAAUAUAUUGAACCGCAUGGUUCAAUAGUGAAAGACGGUUUUGCUGUCACUUAUAGAUGGAUCCGCGCCGCAUUAGCUAGUUGGUAAGGUAACGGCUUACCAAGGCAACGAUGCGUAGCCGACCCGAGAGGGUGAUCGGCCACACUGGAACUGAGACACGGUCCAGACUCCUACGGGAGGCAGCAGUAGGGAAUCUUCCGCAAUGGGCGAAAGCCUGACGGAGCAACGCCGCGUGAGUGAUGAAGGUCUUCGGAUCGUAAAACUCUGUUAUUAGGGAAGAACAAAUGUGUAAGUAACUAUGCACGUCUUGACGGUACCUAACCAGAAAGCCACGGCUAACUACGUG